AUGAGGACAUCCUCCACUAUUACCCGUUGGCAAAGACGCAAUUGGCCCAGUUGGCCCAAUUGUAGUCGAACGGUGACCGUGUGAGCCUCAGAUUUAUCCCACCUCGCUUAACUUGGGAGGAGGAAGCCACUUUAAAAUGGAGAGCCACCCUUCCCCAUUGGACUACUCUUUUGGGGCGAUUGGGCCUUUCCCUUAGUUGGGUGUGCUUAAUGAACUGUUGGGCUCCGGGCAACCCUAAUUUGUUGGGCCUCGGCCAACCCCACCUGGGCUAGGUGUAUCAUCUGGUAUCAGAGCUAGGGCCCAUUUUAAGAAGGUGGGAAUGAUGAGGACAUCCUCCACUAUUACCCAUUGGCAAAGACGCAAUUGGCCCAGUUGGCCCAAUUGUAGUCGGACGGUGACCGUGUGAGCCUCAGAUUUAUCCCACCUCGCUUAACUUGGGAGGAGGAAGCCACUUUAAAAUGGAGAGCCACCCUUCCCCAUUGGACUAGUCUUUUGGGGCGAUUGGGCCUUUCCCUGAGUUGGGUGUGCUUAAUGAACUGUUGGGCUCCGGGCAACCCUAAUUUGUUGGGCCUCGGCCAACCCCACCUGGGCUGGGUGUAUCACGAG
This 606-nucleotide long non-coding RNA is filed under the name Zea mays. RNAcentral's name for it is "long non-coding RNA (ZMAY_LNC004822)". Lineage: Eukaryota; Viridiplantae; Streptophyta; Magnoliopsida; Poales; Poaceae. The record is from RNAcentral.